AUAAUAGUAAAGUUUAUUUAUAUAGCACUUUAUGCAAAAAGAUUUCACAAAGUGUUUUAUAAUAAAAUCAUAAGAAAAAUACAUAAGAAAAAAAAAACAACUCACAG
Sphaeramia orbicularis (orbiculate cardinalfish) is the source of this 107-nucleotide long non-coding RNA. RefSeq lists it as uncharacterized. The record is from RefSeq and is a predicted model, not a curated record. The transcript has 3 exons. Lineage: Eukaryota; Metazoa; Chordata; Actinopteri; Kurtiformes; Apogonidae.